RNAcentral lists this ribosomal RNA (308 nucleotides) under uncultured Marinomonas sp. Its description in RNAcentral is "bacterial SSU rRNA". It matches the Rfam family "Bacterial small subunit ribosomal RNA", at positions 30 to 334 of the family's 1533-position model. The record is from RNAcentral. Lineage: Bacteria; Pseudomonadati; Pseudomonadota; Gammaproteobacteria; Oceanospirillales; Oceanospirillaceae.
AUUGAACGCUGGCGGUAGGCUUAACACAUGCAAGUCGAGCGGAAACGAUGAUAGCUUGCUAUCAGGCGUCGAGCGGCGGACGGGUGAGUAACGCGUAGGAAUCUGCCUAGUAGUGGGGGACAACCUGUGGAAACGCAGGCUAAUACCGCAUAAUCCCUGAGGGGGAAAGGAGGGGAUCUUCGGACCUUUCGCUAUUAGAUGAGCCUGCGUGAGAUUAGCUAGUUGGUGAGGUAAAGGCUCACCAAGGCGACGAUCUCUAGCUGGUCUGAGAGGAUGAUCAGCCACACUGGGACUGAGACACGGCCCAG